This is a long non-coding RNA of Alnus glutinosa, 1482 nucleotides long. RefSeq lists it as uncharacterized. NCBI's taxonomy places the organism in Eukaryota, Viridiplantae, Streptophyta, Magnoliopsida, Fagales, Betulaceae. The transcript is spliced from 11 exons. The record is from RefSeq and is a predicted model, not a curated record.
UACCGAAGGACGAUUCUUCUACCAAAUCCAUCCACAAAUCGCGCCGAUCGCCUGUUCUUCAAAGGAUUUUUCCUCCUGUUGUUCGACUGUCUUCAAAUCCUCGCGACAGAAAGAAAAUGGGUUUGGCUGUCAUGGACGAUUUCUUCUACCAAACAAAAUAGGUUUUCACUUGUUGAGAACUGUCUAAGCCACCCCAGCAUCACCGCAUCCCUCAGCCUCUGAUACUCCACGGCCCUCGUGGCACCGGCAAAACCACCCUCAUCGUCGAACGUCUACUGGGUGAGUGGAAUAAAGGCCCUCAUCUCACUGGCUAUGUAGACUUUGCGGAAUCGAUCAAAGACCACCACCCACAAUUCAACCAGUCGUUUCUACACCUUAAGAAUUGCUGAUGAUAAUCGCUAUAAUGGUGGAAAAGGUGCACAUCUUACUUUGAAACGUGCCGAGAAAGCUCGUGCUUUAUUUAACAAAAUUCCUGGUCGUAUUUGAGCAGCAAUGGUAGAGUUAUUGACUUAAAAAACAAAAGCUUGGGAGGAACAAAGCCGGACUGAGUUCUUAUAUGAUGGUGAAUUGAAUUAGUUCUUGGAACUCGAGUCAAGUCGGCUGAUUUAAGGCGUAAAACAUUAUUAACAGCUGCUGGGGAGACUAUAAGUUGCAAGAUUCUCAUCAUUGCUACAAGUGCUCAGGUGUUAAUGAUCAGGGAGAAACUUGCUGAAGUAUACGAGUCUGAGCAGCAGUGGUCUAAAGCCAGCUCGGAUGCUCAGUGGCAUUGAUCUAGAUUUUGGGAUGAGGUCUGAAAGUGAUUGUGGACAAAAUUGAAAGAAGUGACAUUCCUGAAGUGAUUGUGGACAAAAUUGAAAGAAGUGACAUUCCUGAUAUUGAUAAGAAAUCUGUGAUGGCAACGCCCCUCGUAUUCCCACUUCUUUAAGAGCCACAACCAUCUAACUCCACUCGCUGCCCCUCUCUCUCUCUCUCUUCCUCCUCACAUUUGCUUCUGGUUGACAUCUGAUUGAGUGGUCGAAUCGAAGACUGCCACGCCUACUUGAUGAGAGGUCAGAAGCCAAGAAUUACAACUGGAAAUGCACAGAAUGCUAGAAAACAUUGAAGAAGGAUGUGAUGAAAAUGGAGAAGUUGAUAGCACACAACACUGGUUGUCGCAUGCAGAAGAAGAAGACGUACAACAACAAUUAGGAGCUUGGAAUCGAGAAGAAAUAGAUGGUAUGGAGUAGGAAGGGAAAAAAAACCUAAAUGAAGAAUCAAUAAAUAGACUUGCAGUUUUCGAAUUCAGCAAUUUUAAAUAUAAUAGAAACAUUAUCUUGCUCUUUUGAUCAGGAUUUCGAAUUCAGCAAUUUUAAAUGUAAUAGAAAUAUUAUCUUGCUCUUUUGAUAUGAGAUUUCGAAUUUAGCAAUUUUAAAUGUGAUAGAGAAACAUUGUCAAUCAACAGCAUCUCAUAACCAUUACUUAUGGUGUAUUAGUGAUCAUGUU